This is a long non-coding RNA of Leopardus geoffroyi (Geoffroy's cat), 584 nucleotides long. RefSeq lists it as uncharacterized. NCBI's taxonomy places the organism in Eukaryota, Metazoa, Chordata, Mammalia, Carnivora, Felidae. The transcript has 3 exons. The record is from RefSeq and is a predicted model, not a curated record.
UCUGGUCUGCUGAGUUUCAGUGGACAAGUCUGUUACUACUCUUAUGUGUCUACCCUUGUAGGUUAAGGCUCAUUUGUCCCUAGCUGCUUUCAGAAAUCUCUCUUUAUCUUUGUAUUUUGUCAGUUUCACCAUGCUAUGUCAUGGUGUUGACCUGAUUUUGUUGAUUCUGAAAGGAAUUCUUUGUGCCUCCUGGACUUGGAUGCCUGUUUUGUUCCCCGGAUUAAGGAAGUUCUCAGCUAUAACGUGUUCAAAUAAACCUUCUGCUCUUUAUCUUUCACUUCUUCUUCUGGAACUCCUAUCAUAUGGAUAUUAAUUAAUUUCACUGAAUUACUUAGGUCUCUAAUUCUCCUCUGGAGGUCUAGUAAUUUCCUUUCUCUCCUUUUCUCAGCUUAAUUUUACCCUUCUCAAUGAUUUCACCUUCUAUUUCACCCAUUCUCUCCUCUGCUUCUCCCAUUCUUGCUGUCACUACAGCUAGUUUAUUUUGCACCUCAUAUACAGCAUUUCUGAAUUCAUCGUGACUAUUUCUUAAUUCCUUGAUCACUAUAGCAAUAGAUUCUCUGCUGUUUUCUACACUUUUUGCAAGC